Molecule: transfer RNA, 82 nt
Filed under: Daphnia pulex (common water flea)
Lineage: Eukaryota; Metazoa; Arthropoda; Branchiopoda; Diplostraca; Daphniidae
Description: tRNA-Ser
Rfam family: tRNA
About the family: Transfer RNA (tRNA) molecules are approximately 80 nucleotides in length.
Source: RNAcentral
GACGAGGUGACCGAGCGGUUAAGGUGAUGGACUGCUAAUCCAUUGUGCAUUACACGCAUGGGUUGGAAUCCCAUCAUCGUCG